UACGAAGGGGGCUAGCGUUGUUCGGAAUUACUGGGCGUAAAGCGCGCGCAGGCGGCUAUCCAAGUCAGUGGUGAAAGCCCGGAGCUCAACUCCGGAACUGCCAUUGAAACUGUUUAGCUUGAGGAUGAGAGAGGUGAGUGGAAUUCCCAGUGUAGGGGUGAAAUCCGUAAAUAUACGAAGGAACGCCAAAAGCGAAGGCAGCUCUCUGGGUCCCUACCGACGCUGGGGUGCGAAAGCAUGGGGAGCGAACAGG
Molecule: ribosomal RNA, 253 nt
Filed under: uncultured bacterium
Lineage: Bacteria
Description: partial 16S ribosomal RNA
Rfam family: Bacterial small subunit ribosomal RNA
Source: RNAcentral